Molecule: small nuclear RNA, 303 nt
Filed under: Octodon degus (degu)
Lineage: Eukaryota; Metazoa; Chordata; Mammalia; Rodentia; Octodontidae
Description: 7SK RNA (ENSODEG00000023273.1)
Rfam family: 7SK RNA
About the family: 7SK was discovered as an abundant small nuclear RNA in the mid-70s but a possible function has only recently been suggested. Two independent studies have found that 7SK RNA binds the CDK9/cyclin T complex (known as elongation factor P-TEFb). P-TEFb activates transcription by phosphorylating the C-terminal domain of RNA polymerase II.
Source: Rfam by way of RNAcentral
AGAUGUGUGGGCCAUCUGGCUGCUGUGACAUCUGUCACCCCAUUGAUCACCAGGGUUGAUUCGGCUGAUCUAGCUGGCUGGGUGGGUGAGGUGUCCCUUCCUCCCUCAGUGUUCUCUGUGUGUCCCUCCAGAAGCUUCACGCUUAGUAGAAGAGGACCACCUCCCCAGAUAAAGACCUUUCCUAGGCCAAGGGUCGAGGAGUAGUUGUAUUCCCCUGCCAGAACCACCAAACAAAAGAACUUCAAAUUAAAGGAGUUCAGCUCCUUUACACCAUCUCCAGUGAUUCACAUCUGAAUGUAGAAU